UUUUUCCUGCAGUGUUCGACCAUUACCCAUCAAAUACAGGCCCGGACCGUUGAUACGUUAUUGGGGGCUUAGCAAAUCGUCGGCUGUCAGGCCUUCGCUGGAAGGCAAAAGUCGAUGAGCGGCUCCCUCCCUGUUGAGUGACGGGAACGUGAGCCUCUAGAUCGGGAGACGGCACAGGUGGGAAAUAC
RNAcentral lists this non-coding RNA (188 nucleotides) under Verrucomicrobiales bacterium. Its description in RNAcentral is "6S RNA". It matches the Rfam family "6S / SsrS RNA". From Rfam's summary of the family: E. coli 6S RNA was the first non coding RNA to be sequenced, but its function was unknown until recently. The record is from RNAcentral. Lineage: Bacteria; Pseudomonadati; Verrucomicrobiota; Verrucomicrobiia; Verrucomicrobiales.